Molecule: ribosomal RNA, 510 nt
Filed under: Eosipho smithi
Lineage: Eukaryota; Metazoa; Mollusca; Gastropoda; Neogastropoda; Buccinidae
Description: partial 16S ribosomal RNA
Rfam family: Bacterial large subunit ribosomal RNA
Source: RNAcentral
UUGUAAUUUAAAUAAAUAAGGAGUCGGGCCUGCCCGGUGAAAUUUUUUAACGGCCGCGGUACUCUGACCGUGCAAAGGUAGCAUAAUCAUUUGCCUUAUAAUUGAAGGCUAGUAUGAAUGGUUUAACAAGAAUAUAACUGUCUCUUUAUGAUUAAAUAGAAUUUUAUAUAUAAGUGAAGAAGCUUAUAUUUAAUUAAAAGACAAGAAGACCCUAUCGAGCUUUAAAUAAAUUAAGAGACUAAAUUUAAUUAAUAGCACUAAAAAAUUAACUCUUAAAAAUUUUAGUUGGGGCGACUGAGGAACAAAAAAAGCUUCCUUUAAAUAACAUAAAUCUUACAAGUAUUGAUCCAAAACAUUUUGAUUAAAGAAAUUAGUUACCGUAGGGAUAACAGCAUUAUCUUUUUUAAGAGUUCUUAUCGAAAAAAAGGUUUGUGACCUCGAUGUUGGACCAGAAUAUCCUAAAGAUGCAGCAGUCUUUAAGGGUUGGUCUGUUCGACCAUUAAAAUUCUA